UACGUAGGGAGCAAGCGUUGUUCGGAUUUACUGGGCGUAAAGGGCGCGUAGGCGGCAAUUCAAGUCACUUGUGAAAUCUCCGGGCUUAACUCGGAACGGUCAAGUGAUACUGCUUUGCUAGAGUGCGGAAGGGGCAAUCGGAAUUCUCGGUGUAGCGGUGAAAUGCGUAGAUAUCGAGAGGAACACCUGAGGUGAAGACGGGUUGUUGGGCCGACACUGACGCUGACAGCGCGAAAGCCAGGGGAGCAAACGGG
This 254-nucleotide ribosomal RNA is filed under the name uncultured bacterium. RNAcentral describes it as "partial 16S ribosomal RNA". It matches the Rfam family "Bacterial small subunit ribosomal RNA", at positions 524 to 776 of the family's 1533-position model. The record is from RNAcentral.